UCCUGUGAUGACCUUACACGAACAAUCCAAUUCUUACCUAGCCCAUGGGGACUCCAAUUUACUCUAGAAUUACCCUGAGA
This 80-nucleotide small nucleolar RNA is filed under the name Neurospora crassa. Its description in RNAcentral is "box C/D snoRNA CD17". The record is from RNAcentral. Lineage: Eukaryota; Fungi; Ascomycota; Sordariomycetes; Sordariales; Sordariaceae.